GCAAGUCGUGCGAGACCUUCGGGUCUAGCGGCGGACGGGUUAGUAACGCGUGGGAACGUACCCUUCUCUACGGAAUUGCCUCGGGAAACUGAGAGUAAUACCGUAUACGCCCUUCGGGGGAAAGAUUUAUCGGAGAAGGAUCGGCCCGCGUUAGAUUAGAUAGUUGGUGGGGUAACGGCCUACCAAGUCUACGAUCUAUAGCUGGUUUUAGAGGAUGAUC
RNAcentral lists this ribosomal RNA (220 nucleotides) under uncultured bacterium. RNAcentral describes it as "partial 16S ribosomal RNA". It matches the Rfam family "Bacterial small subunit ribosomal RNA", at positions 57 to 305 of the family's 1533-position model. The record is from RNAcentral.